GAACAUUCAGAAGGAUACGCAGUUCACUUGGAGUCUGUUCAAGUUCAGAUGUACACUGAUUGCUUAAUCGCAUUCAGUUUAAGGGAGGAUGUGAAUUCUCCUCCACAAUCAAUUCAUAAGGUUUUGAUUAACAAACCAGUUUCCUUCUCCACAGCAACUUUGAACUUCUUGAAAACAACCAAGGCUUCUGACUUUUCAGCUAAGAAAUAUAUACAAGUCUUCUUGCUAUAAUCAUCAAUAAAGGUAAUGUAAUACCUUUUGUUGCUGUUGGAAAUAGGAUUUAUAGGUCCACAAAUAUCCGAAUGAACAAGUUGUAAUACUAAUGAUGCUCUCCAAGUGCUUUCCUUUGGAAAAACUUCUCUGUGUUGUUUUCCCAUCAUGCAUUCUUCACAAACCCUAGUUGAAGGUUGCAACUGAGGUAGUCCUCCCACCAUGUUUUUUUGCUAUAAAGUCUUUAGGCCCUUGAAAUUCAGAUGUCCAUAUCUAAAAUGCCAUAACCAAGUAUCAUCUUGGAUAGUUGAUUUCAGACAGACUUGCUUGGUUAAUGCAGCUGGUGUUUGUAAUGGAAACAUUCUAUUAGAAGCCAUUUCAACAUGCACAAUUUAACCUUUGAUGAAUUUGGCAGCAAUUCUUUUGAAUUAGAAUGGGGAACCCCUUCUCUUGAAGCUGACCAAGGCUGAUCAGAUUACUUCUUAAUUCAGGCACAUAGAACACACAUGAUAUGAUUUGUACAGCACCAUUGACUUUAAUUUUGACAUAUCCUUUACCUUGUACUUUUAAGCUUGAAUCAUUACCAAGCUUUACAUUCUCCCUGAACUUCUCAUCAAGUUUGGUGAACAUCUUCUUGGUUCCACGUAUGU
RNAcentral lists this long non-coding RNA (860 nucleotides) under Prunus dulcis (almond). Its description in RNAcentral is "sRNA ncRNA". The record is from RNAcentral. Lineage: Eukaryota; Viridiplantae; Streptophyta; Magnoliopsida; Rosales; Rosaceae.